GGGGAUUUAGCUCAGUGGUAGAGCGCUUGCCUAGCAAGCGAAAAGCCCUGGGUUCGGUCCCCAGCUCCG
Molecule: non-coding RNA, 69 nt
Organism: Rattus norvegicus (Norway rat)
Lineage: Eukaryota; Metazoa; Chordata; Mammalia; Rodentia; Muridae
Source: Rfam